Molecule: ribosomal RNA, 253 nt
Filed under: uncultured bacterium
Lineage: Bacteria
Description: partial 16S ribosomal RNA
Rfam family: Bacterial small subunit ribosomal RNA
Source: RNAcentral
UACGUAGGGUGCAAGCGUUAAUCGGAAUUACUGGGCGUAAAACGUGCGCAGGCGGUUAUGCAAGACAGAUGUGAAAUCCCCGGGCUUAACCUGGGAACCGCAUUUGUGACUGCAUAGCUGGAGUACGGCAGAGGGGGAUGGAAUUCCGCGUGUAGCAGUGAAAUGCGUAGAUAUGCGGAGGAACACCGAUGGCGAAGGCAGUCCCCUGGGCCUGUACUGACGCUCAUGCACGAAAGCGUGGGGAGCAAACAGG